GACUCUUAAUGGUAAAAUCUCUUUGCUUGAACAUCUAUGAAAAACACAGCCAGCUGCCAGAAUUAAUGUAAAUUGCAGAAUGCAUUGAUCAUCAACACAUUGAAUGCAAUUGAAACCCAGAGCUACACCUGUCUGAGCAGUG
The sequence is a ribosomal RNA, 142 nucleotides long. It matches the Rfam family "5.8S ribosomal RNA". Rfam says of the family: 5.8S ribosomal RNA (5.8S rRNA) is a component of the large subunit of the eukaryotic ribosome. It is transcribed by RNA polymerase I as part of the 45S precursor that also contains 18S and 28S rRNA. Functionally, it is thought that 5.8S rRNA may be involved in ribosome translocation. The record is from Ensembl.